AUUGAACGCUGGCGGCAUGCCUUACACAUGCAAGUCGAACGGCAGCGCGGGAGCAAUCCUGGCGGCGAGUGGCGAACGGGUGAGUAACAUAUCGGAACGUGCCCUGGAGUGGGGGAUAACUAGUCGAAAGACUAGCUAAUACCGCAUACGAUCCUAGGAUGAAAGUGGGGGACCGCAAGGCCUCAUGCUCCUGGAGCGGCCGAUAUCUGAUUAGCUAGUUGGUGGGGUAAAGGCCCACCAAGGCGACGAUCAGUAGCUGGUCUGAGAGGACGACCAGCCACACUGGGACUGAGACACGGCCCAGACUCCUACGGGAGGCAGCAGUGGGGAAUUUUGGACAAUGGGGGCAACCCUGAUCCAGCAAUGCCGCGUGUGUGAAGAAGGCCUUCGGGUUGUAAAGCACUUUUGUCCGGAAAGAAAUCGUCCUGGCUAAUAUCCGGGAUGGAUGACGGUACUGGAAGAAUAAGCACCGGCUAACUACGUGCCAGCCGCCGCAGUAAU
RNAcentral lists this ribosomal RNA (501 nucleotides) under uncultured bacterium. RNAcentral describes it as "bacterial SSU rRNA". It matches the Rfam family "Bacterial small subunit ribosomal RNA", at positions 30 to 524 of the family's 1533-position model. The record is from RNAcentral.